GGACAAUGUAUCAGCGGUGAGGUAUGUCAACCACUUGGGCGGUACUCAACCUGUGGUCCUGGCCAGAUUGGCGAAAGACUUUUGGGACUUUUGCUUAGACUGGAACCUGGUGGUUCAAGCGGAAUACCUGCCAGGACUACACAACGUCCAGGCGGACUGGGGCUCACGAUAUCUAUCACAUGCCAACGACUCGAAAUUGGACACGAACGUGUUCUCCAGUAUAUUGUCUCUUUG
Non-coding RNA from Pelobates cultripes (western spadefoot toad), 234 nucleotides. The record is from the annotation of a GenBank genome assembly. NCBI's taxonomy places the organism in Eukaryota, Metazoa, Chordata, Amphibia, Anura, Pelobatidae.